UACGGAGGGUGCGAGCGUUGUCCGAAUCAUUGGGCGUAAAGGGCGCGUAGGUGGCCCGGUGAGUCUUUGGUGAAAGCGCGGGGCUCAACCCUGCGUCGGCCAGGGAUACUGCCGCGGCUCGAGCACUGUAGAGGCAGGCGGAAUUCCGGGUGUAGCGGUGGAAUGCGUAGAGAUCCGGAAGAACACCGGUGGCGAAGGCGGCCUGCUGGGCAGUGGCUGACGCUGAGGCGCGACAGCGUGGGGAGCAAACAGG
This 253-nucleotide ribosomal RNA is filed under the name uncultured bacterium. RNAcentral describes it as "partial 16S ribosomal RNA". It matches the Rfam family "Bacterial small subunit ribosomal RNA", at positions 524 to 776 of the family's 1533-position model. The record is from RNAcentral.